RNAcentral lists this unclassified non-coding RNA (567 nucleotides) under Hevea brasiliensis (rubber tree). The record is from RNAcentral. Lineage: Eukaryota; Viridiplantae; Streptophyta; Magnoliopsida; Malpighiales; Euphorbiaceae.
GGGGUCUUACUGAUGCUUUUGCAGAUUUGUUAUCUAAAUCUUUAUCUUGUGCUUGCAUUCCUUCAGUAUACACCUGCCAUUGAUAUUUGGAGUAUCGGCUGCAUUUUUGCGGAGGUACUGACAGGAAAACCGUUGUUCCCGGGAAAAAGUGUUGUUCAUCAGUUAGAUUUGAUGACUGAUCUUCUUGGGACGCCAUCAGCUGAUUCCAUAUCUGGGGUUCGUAAUGAGAAGGCACGAAAGUAUUUGACAAGCAUGCGGAAAAAGAAUCCAGUUCCUUUUACAGAGAAAUUUCCAGGUGCAGAUCCUCUGGUGCUCCGAUUGUUGCAGAGGUUGUUAGCAUUUGAUCCAAAGGAUCGACCUACUGCUGAAGAGGCUUUAUCCGAUCCUUAUUUCAAAGGACUGGCCAAGAUUGAGAGGGAACCUUCUAGUCAACCAAUCUCGAAGCUGGAGUUUGAGUUUGAGCGACGAAGGGUCACAAAGGAUGACAUUCGUGAACUAAUAUUUAGGGAGAUACUUGAGUAUCAUCCUCAACUUCUGAAGGACUACAUGGCUGGAAAUAGUGGUGCA